Asparagus officinalis (garden asparagus) is the source of this 5112-nucleotide long non-coding RNA. RefSeq lists it as uncharacterized. Lineage: Eukaryota; Viridiplantae; Streptophyta; Magnoliopsida; Asparagales; Asparagaceae. The transcript is spliced from 3 exons. The record is from RefSeq and is a predicted model, not a curated record.
AGGUCAUGGCUAGAGAUAUCCAUGCUAGAGCAUCUAGCAUAGAUGCUUUAGGGGAUUCUGCUGGUGUCUUUGUCCAGCCAAUCUUCAUUCACGACGGGGAUACAAGUGAGAAAGUUGGUGUGCCACAACAGGUGGAAAGACAAGGUUCUGCCACAUUAUAUGUGGAAGAACAAGGAGGAAGUUAUCUCAGAUGUGGAAGAAUCUGUUCAGCAUGGCAUUUCAAAGUUCCACUUAUUCACGAAGCGUUCUGAAGAGAUUGGGAGUAUCCAGAAGCGUGAUAAACUCAUUGUUGACAUUGUCGCCUUCCUAAAAAAAUGUUUUCCCUUUGCGGUGAGUAUAUUCCAUCUAUUAUAAUUCUCUUGAGAUUUACUAAAGCUCGUUAUUGACUACGUUGAAACUACUUGAGAUUUACUAAAGCUCAUUAUGGAGUACUCUCAAAUUGUUUGACAAACUUCGAUUGCGGAUAUAGAGUCACUGAUGCAGCCAAGAAAGAACCGAGUAUCUAAACCCUUACUCUUUAAGAAUACCUUCUAAUAUGUUGUUCUUAUAAAUAAUAAUCAUCAUAUCUAUUGUAGUCAUUUCUAAUAUUUAGAAAAUUCUAUCAAUAGCAAAUGUUAUCUCAAUUUCUCUUAAAACCUAAAGCACUGGUUAUGACCUUCUUAGACUGUGACUAAUUUUUUGAAUGAAAAUUUGUACCGAAUCAUACUUUUGUUCGUAAAGAUAUCGUCUUUAAGCCUGCCCAAUAUAUUAACUUAUGACAAGAAUUUCUGAUAGAUACAAUCUUCUCCUGGAAGUCGUGUAGUCUUAAUUUCUUCGAUGUGUAACUUUGCUAUUUUUCUACGAGGGAUACUUUUCCAAAUAACAAGAAAGAGCGUUAGUUUAGUUAAUCCAUGUAUAGUCACUCAAAUAGCAUUAUGAUCAUUAUUGUCCAAGGUACUAUCACAAAGUGUACACAUAUCCAUUUCUUUCUUGUGUCCACUCAAGAAUGAAUAACGGUUGUACUAAAAAAAUGAUCUAUGUAUUUCUACUUUAUUUUGUCAAUAAAUCAUACAUUUGCAUUCAUAUUCAACAAUACUUUAUUUCAUAUUCUUUCAAUAAUAGUUGAUUCCAAAUUGCCCUAUAUCCUCAUACUUAUGGGUACAAUGUAUCUAGCUUGAGAUGAACUUCAUCCAAAAUUUCUUGUUUCAAGAUGUAUUCCAUGAUACAAAUUCUUCUUUGUAUGUUAGGAUUCUAUCUUUUAGACACCCAAGGACCAUCUCCAAGUCUUUAACUACUUUCAUUUGAUAUCCACAUUCUCCUUUAAUUUUUUCAUCCCGAGUAAACUAUUAGGCCUUGUCAUAAAGUUCUGAACAAAUAUAUUGGUUUAUCUACUAAAUUUUGGAUUUCUAAUUAUCUGUUAUCUCAAGUGAUUCUUGUGUUUUAUUUUCCCUCCCACUAAGCUCAGACUGUUGUUGUUUUAACUCGAAGAAUUGACGACAACAUUACCUUAGUAACCAUACAAUCACAAUCCUUCAAAUUAUUCGUUCAUCUUCUAAGCUCCAUUUCUUUUGAGAAUAUAUUACAACAUUUUUCUAGAAUAACAUUUUUUUUUGAAUUUUCAACUUUUAAUUGCUAGGGUAUUACAACAUCAAAUAACUUCCAACAAUAAAUUAUAUUGAACAUUGUGUUUUUCGUUUGUAGUACUAUGCCAGAGGGCCUUAGGCUACGCCUACAGUGAGUUUCUGUGCUAGUUUUUAAGAAUCUUGAACCAUACUACAUUUCUCAAAUACGUGGGGAGCUGACGUACAAGGGGUAUACGGAUGUGCAGAUCCUUAUGCAUUUUGCAAGGUACACAUUAUAGAGGCUUGUCUAUCUUGUUAAAUAUCUCCCGUAUGAUAUAAUUAAUGACGUUUUUACUUUUUUAUGAACAACUUUAGAAACUGUAAUCUUAUACCUAGACUAGAGGACGGGGCUAAGUAUGAAUUAGUUUGUUGUUAGUAUUUUAAUGGUUAAAUCAAUGAUUGGGAUAUUACUAAUUUGUUUUUUAUGAUUACAUGUUGUAAUCGGGCAGAGGAGAAUGAUGAAAGCAUCAUAUGAUGUGUGGUGGAGUACAUUGAGGCCGGUGUUGAUCGCUAUCUUUUUCGUUUCCCAUUAUUCUCUUUUGUUGCUGCCCUACUUCUAAUUUCUAAUAGAUACACCUACUUGUUAAUGAAUGUAGCUGAAAUUUCCAACGACAUCGGGCAUCAGAAAGGUCAUUACCUCAUUGUUGGUUCGCCUGGCCGGAGUACACCUGAACAUCUUCUUCGUAAGAAAAUAACUCUAAUUCCUUCAAAACUUGAAUGUCCUUUUGUGAUUCCUUCUAUUUGCUUAAUUGCGAUUUUUCUAUUACCAAGAUUUUUUAUUUUCGUUUCUGUUGGUGAAUAAUUUUUAUUACACAAUUGAUGGUCAAUUCACGUAUAAUCUUAAUAUUAGGUUUUUUCUAUAUUGGUCCUCAAAUCUAAGCUAUAAUUAAAUAAGUCCCCUAAAUCUCUGAUAUUUUAAUUAAGUCUCUCAAAUCUCCAGCUUAGAUUUAGGGGACUUAUUUAAUUAUAUCUUAGAUUUGAGGACCAAUAUAGAAAAAACCUAAUAUUAAGAUUAUACGUGAAUUGACCAUCAAUUGUGUAAUAAAAAUUAUUCACCAACAGAAACGAAAAUAAAAAAUCUUGGUAAUAGAAAAAUCGCAAUUAAGCAAAUAGAAGGAAUCACAAAAGGACAUUCAAGUUUUGAAGGAAUUAGAGUUAUUUUCUUACGAAGAAGAUGUUCAGGUGUACUCCGGCCAGGCGAACCAACAAUGAGGUAAUGACCUUUCUGAUGCCCGAUGUCGUUGGAAAUUUCAGCUACAUUCAUUAACAAGUAGGUGUAUCUAUUAGAAAUUAGAAGUAGGGCAGUAACAAAAGAGAAUAAUGGGAAACGAAAAAGAUAGCGAUCAACACUGGCUUCAAUGUACUCCACCACACAUCAUAUGAUGCUUUCAUCAUUCUCCCCUGCCCGAUUACAACAUGUAAUCAUAAAAAACAAAUUAGUAAUAUCCCAAUCAUCGAUUUAACCAUUAAAAUACUAACAACAAACUAAUUCAUACUUAGCCCCGUCCUCUAGUCUGGGUAUAAGAUUACAGUUUCUAAAGCUGUUCAUAAAAAAGUAAAAACGUCAUUAAUUAUAUCAUACGGGAGAUAUUUAACAAGAUAGACAAGCCUCUAUAAUUUGUACCUUGCAAAAUGCAUAAGGAUCUGCACAACCGUAUACCCCUUGUACGUCGGCUCCCCACGUAUUUGAGAAAUGUAGUAUGGUUCAAGAUUCUUAAAAACUAGCACAGAAACUCCACUGUAGGCGUCCUACGGCCCUCUGGCAUAGUACUACAAACGAAAAACACAAUGUUCAAUAUAAUUUAUUGUUGGAAGUUAUUUGAUGUUGUAAUACCCUAGCAAUUAAAAGUUGAAAAUUCAAAAAAAAAUGUUGUUCUAGAAAAAUGUUGUAAUAUAUUCUCAAAAGAAAUGGAGCUUCGAAGAUGAACGGAUAAUUUGAAGGAUUGUGAUUGUAUGGUUACUAAGGUAAUGUUGUCGUCAAUUCUUUGAGUUAAAACAACAACAGUCUGAGCUUAGUGGGAGGGAAAAUAAAACACAAGAAUCACUUGAGAUAACAGAUAAUUAGAAAUCCAAAAUUUAGUAGAUAAACCAAUAUAUUUGUUCAGAACUUUAUGACAAGGCCUAAUAGUUUACUUGGGAUGAAAAAUUUUAAAGGAGAAUGUGGAUAUCAAAUGAAAGUAGCUGAAGGCUUAGAGACAGUCCUUGAGUGUCUAAAAGAUAGAAUCCUAACAUACAAAGAAGAAUUUGUAUCAUGGAACGCAUCUUGAAACAAGAAAUUUUGGAUGUUCAUCUCAAGCUAGAUACAUUGUAUCCAUAAGUACGAGGAUAUAGGGCAAUUUGGAAUCAACUAUUAUUGAAAGAAUAUGAAAUAAAGUAUUGUUGAAUAUGAAUGCAAAUGUAUGAUUUAUUGACAAAAUAAAGUAGAAAUACAUAGAUCAUUUUUUUAGUACAACCGUUAUUCAUUCUUGAGUGGACACAAGAAAGAAAUGGAUAUGUGUACACUUUGUGAUAGUACCUUGGACAAUAAUGAUCAUAAUGCUAUUUGGGUGACUAUACAGGGAUUAACUAAACUAACGCUCUUUCUUGUUAUUUGGAAAAGUAUCCCUUGUAGAAAAAUAGCAAAGUUACACAUCGAAGAAAUUAAGACCACACAACUUCCAGGAGAAGAUUGUAUCUAUCAAAAUUCUUGUCAUAAGUUAAUAUAUUGGGAAGGCUUAAAGACGAUAUCUUUAGGAACAAAAGUAUGAUUCGGUACAAAUUUUCAUUCAAAAAAUUAGUCACAGUCUAAGAAGGUCAUAACCAUUGCUUUUGGUUUUAAGAGAAAUUGAGAUGACAUUUGCUAUUGAUAGAAUUUUCUAAGUAUUAGAAAUGACUACAAUAGAUAUGAUUAUUAUUAUUUAUAAGAACAACAUAUUAGAAGGUAUUCUCGAAGAUUAAGGGUUUAGAUACUCGGUUCUUUCUUGGCUGCAUCAAUGACUCUAUAUCCGCAAUCAAAGUUUGUCAAACAAUUUGAGAGUACUCAAUGAUGAGCUUUAGUAAAUCUCAAGUAGUUUCAACGUAGUCUAUAAUUAGCUUUAGUAAAUCUCAAGAGAAAUAGAUGGAAUAUACUCACCGCAUAGCGAAAUGGACACAUUUGGAGAAUCUUUGUAUUAGAGAGUAGUACAAAGCAGCACUUCAUGCAUCAUAUGAGGUUUGUUGCUUGUGAUCUCGCAUUAUUGAGUCUAUGCUCAUUGUAUCUCCCUCCUCUACCUUGCUUUCUUUGUAUACUUGUGCACAAACCCAAUCUCUCUUUAUCUCACCGAGAGAAUGCAACUAUAAGUUCAGAAGCCCACAUACUCUGCAUUAAUGUUGCUAGCUCAUAAUACUUACAAUAAUAUCAAAGUACAUGUAAUUUUGUUAUGACUACGAGUUCUCCAGUGAAUAAGGUCUUUUUUUAGGUCAUGUGUUAAGAUGGUAACAAUUACUUGAUGUCUUUUAUGCGAGGUGUUUGAGAGAAAAGGACAAUCCGAAA